CCUGUGGUGGAUUCGCGGAAGCCUGAACCAGCCAAGUCGCGUGAGGGAAGACGGUCCAAGGGAUUGUAAACCUCUUUUGCAGGGGAGCAAGGCGCGGUACGUGUACCGCGAAGGAGAGUACCCUGAGAAAAAGCAUCGGCUAACUCCGUGCCAGCAGCCGCGGUAAUACGGAGGAUGCGAGCGUUAUCCGGAUUUAUUGGGUUUAAAGGGUGCGCAGGCGGACUGUUAAGUCAGCGGUAAAAUGUCGGUGCUCAACACCGGCCGGCCGUUGAAACUGGCAGCCUUGAGUGAGCGAGAAGUAUGCGGAAUGCGUGGUGUAGCGGUGAAAUGCAUAGAUAUCACGCAGAACUCCGAUUGCGAAGGCAGCAUACCGGCGCUCAACUGACGCUCAGGCACGAAAGCGUGGGUAUCGAACAGGCUUAGAUACCCUGGUAGUCCACGCAGUAAACGAUGAAUGCUCACUGUCCGGGCCGUUUAAGGCCUGGGUGGUCAAGCGAAAGCGUUAAGCAUUCCACCUGGGGAGUACGCCGGCAACGGUGAAACUCAAAGGAAUUGACGGGGGCCCGCACAAGCGGAGGAACAUGUGGUUUAAUUCGAUGAUACGCGAGGAACCUUACCCGGGCUCAAACGGAAGGGGACAGUAUGAGAAAUCAUACAUUCCUUCGGGACCGCUUCCGAGGUGCUGCAUGGUUGUCGUCAGCUCGUGCCGUGAGGUGUCGGCUUAAGUGCCAUAACGAGCGCAACCCCUAUCGACAGUUGCUAGCAGGUAAAGCUGAGGACUCUGUCGAGACUGCCGGCGCAA
This 802-nucleotide ribosomal RNA is filed under the name mouse gut metagenome. RNAcentral describes it as "bacterial SSU rRNA". It matches the Rfam family "Bacterial small subunit ribosomal RNA", at positions 359 to 1160 of the family's 1533-position model. The record is from RNAcentral.